UGCGCCGCCGCUGGUAAUAGCUCAUCCCCAUCUUCACCAAUUUCUUCCAUUCCGUGGUUGAAUAACUCAUCACAAUUUCUUCUCCAUCAAUCAUCUUCGUCCAGACCUACUAUAUGAGACUCCCAUAAUAAGAAAACAAGUCACAAUACAUCUCUAACAACCGCUACAUGUGAUAUUUUUCGACAACCGUGAGUGUCUUCAAUGUCUCCAACCACCAUAUUUGAAAUCAUUGUGCUCGACUCAUUCAUCUACGAGAAGAACCGCAAUCAAAACAACCAUUCAUGACUUAAUCGAAAAUUCUAACCAUCGCCUUCAAGCCUCGAUUCUGGCCGUUGUAGUGUUGACUCGAAAUAACGAAGAUCGGUUAUGUGAUCUAUGGGUCGAGAACUUUGUCCUACAAUAUUCAUUUUCAAUUUAAGCAAAAUCCGUGAAAACUUGUUAUCGUCGGCGUUACGGUAAAUGUUUUCCGAUCAACCUAGCAUUCAUUGUUCAUUUGUUUUGAACCUAUCAUAAUUAAAGUCAGAUGUUGAUGCGCUUUUAAUUUUAAUUUAAGUGUUGUUGUUAUCCGUAAGCACCGUUUCGAGUCAACCGUGUUGGUAAGGUCCUCCGACCAUUAUUUUUUUUCUUCCCUCCAUAAUUUCAACUUUGUUUCUACUUGUAAUAUCAUUUAUUAAAUAUUUGACUUUUUUUUAUCAUCGUCGCAAUUUCUCAGUUGCAAUUUGGUUAUUCUCUGGACCCGCUUUCAAACAAUUUAUUUUUUGAUUGCUCCAACAUUGCUGAAAUUUAAAGUGUACCGUAUGAAAUCAUUAAAGGAGGUAUGGAGUGAGAGAGAGUUCGAAUUCAUGAGUGUAAGUUAACUGAGAUGAAUGGGAAAACCUUAUUUCCCAUAAUUCAUUUGAGGCUCGCUAGUACGGUUGAAGUCUUUUGAGUAAUAGUUGACUAAUGAGAAAACUUGAAUUUGGUGAGGUUAAAAUACGAGUUAGAAACUUUUAUAGGGUGUUGUUUGAUUUAAAUUUUAAAUAUUGCUUGGUAGUUGAAUUAUUGCAGAAUUGUGUAUUUGAUGUAUUAUGUGUUUUGUUUAUAUCUACCUUGAUAUCAUUAUAUGAUAUAAAAUAUGAUGAAUUGUUAUUAAUUCAAUUUCAAUUGAAGUGAUGUGUGUGAAUGAUCUAGUAUUAUUAUCUGUGAGUGAAAAUCAUAUAUUGUUGGAGUUUGUGUAUUAUGAUGAUAAAUUUUGAAUGUAGUAAGUAUAUGACUAUGAAAAUAUGCAUUGAUGGUUACUUGUUGACUUAUGAUGUUACUACCUUGAUGAAUAUCACGAAAUGCAUAUUUCAUUUUAUUGAAUAGUGAUGAGUUUGACUUGUACCAAGGGUGGUUCUCUUAAUGGAGUGAGUAACCUAUGCCAACGAGGGGAGAAAAUAGAUGUUGAUAAUUUUUGAAGUGGAGAAUAUGUAGUCAUCAUAUAGGUAGGGCCUCAAAAUCCUAGUGAUUCCGGGGAAGUACAAUUGAAUGAGUCUGGUCGUGGCGGUCUGUUGUUGAGCCUUAGGGCAAGAUUGUUAGACCUUGGAGGUAUUCGAGUGGGGAACUCCUAGGUGACUUGGAGGUAGCACUUCAAAUGUCAAGAGCUACCAUGUAACACACGUUUACCUCGACUGUCGCGUAUAUGUGUCUCGGGUUGAGUCGAGGAGAUCUAUGAGUACAUGGCCAAAUUGAAUUGUUCGUCCACUUGCAUGGUGGCAUAGUAUUAAGCCUCCUAACCAAAUACUUCAGAGUUAGAAUGGUACCAAAGAAAGAGGAGGAGUCUAGAGUAUAAGAGCAUGCAUAACAUUACUUGAUUUGUGUGUUUACUUACUUGAUGUUGUGGAUUGUAUCAAUGUUUUACCUUGAUUAUUCUUGUUGAUUGUGAUUUGAUAUGAUACGGUGUUUAAUAUAUUUUACGUGUUCUUCUCAAUUAUUUAUACUAUUACAUGUUUUCGAAGCUCACCCUUUGUUGCUUGUGCUUGGCACUUGCGAGAGUACAGUUAUUUCAGGUUAUCGUUUGGUGAUCUACGCUUUGAAAGGUGAUAUUAGGUGGAAGUAAUUUGUUGUAUUUUGUUGAGUUAUGAACUAAUUUAGCUUUUUGUAAAUUCGAUCGAUCAAGGUAAAAAUUAAUUGUCUCUAAGUUUAGAAUGUUUUUUUAUGUUAGAAAUAUUUAUUUAAUA
RNAcentral lists this long non-coding RNA (2198 nucleotides) under Cicer arietinum (chickpea). Its description in RNAcentral is "long non-coding RNA (CARI_LNC001225)". Lineage: Eukaryota; Viridiplantae; Streptophyta; Magnoliopsida; Fabales; Fabaceae. The record is from RNAcentral.